AGGGCACCACCAGGAGUGGAGCCUGCGGCUUAAUUUGACUCAACACGGGAAAACUCACCCGGCCCGGACACUGGAAGGAUUGACAGAUUGAGAGCUCUUUCUUGAUUCAGUGGGUGGUGGUGCAUGGCCGUUCUUAGUUGGUGGAGUGAUUUGUCUGGUUAAUUCCGAUAACGAACGAGACUCUAGCCUACUAAAUAGAUCGUCGGCUUACAAACGCCGGCGAGACUUCUUAGAGGGACAGGCGGUGAUUCAACCGCACGAAACAGAGCAAUAACAGGUCUGUGAUGCCCUUAGAUGUCCGGGGCCGCACGCGCGCUACACUGAAGUGAUCAGCGUGCAUUUGUUCUCGCUCCGUGAGGAGCGAGUGACCCAAGGAACCUUCUUCGUGAUAGGGAUUGGGCAUUGUAAUUAUUGCCCAUGAACGAGGAAUUCCCAGUAAGCGCGAGUCAUUAGCUUGCGUUGAUUACGUCCCUGCCCUUUGUACACACCGCCCGUCGCUACUACCGAUUGAAUGAUAGA
RNAcentral lists this ribosomal RNA (519 nucleotides) under uncultured eukaryote. Its description in RNAcentral is "SSU rRNA". It matches the Rfam family "Eukaryotic small subunit ribosomal RNA", at positions 1161 to 1700 of the family's 1831-position model. The record is from RNAcentral.